AGUGAACGCUGGCGGUAGGCCUAACACAUGCAAGUCGAACGGCAGCACAGUAAGAGCUUGCUCUUACGGGUGGCGAGUGGCGGACGGGUGAGGAAUACAUCGGAAUCUACUUUUUCGUGGGGGAUAACGUAGGGAAACUUACGCUAAUACCGCAUACGACCUACGGGUGAAAGCAGGGGAUCUUCGUACCUUGCGCGAUUGAAUGCGCCGAUGUCGGAUUAGCUAGUUGGCGGGGUAAAGGCCCACCAAGGCGACGAUCCGUAGCUGGUCUGAGAGGAUGAUCAGCCACACUGGAGCUGAGACACGGUCCAGACUCCUACGGGAGGCAGCAGUGGGGAAUAUUGGACAAUGGGCGCAAGCAUGAUCCAGCCAUACCGCGUAGGUGAAGAAGGCCUUCGGGUUGUAAAGACCUUUUGUUGGGAAAGAAAAGCAGCAGGUUAAUACCCCGCUGUUCUGACGGUACCCAAAGAAUAAGCACCGGCUAACUACGUG
Molecule: ribosomal RNA, 492 nt
Filed under: uncultured bacterium
Lineage: Bacteria
Description: partial 16S ribosomal RNA
Rfam family: Bacterial small subunit ribosomal RNA
Source: RNAcentral